CCUACGGGCGGCACCAGUAGGGAAUCUCCGGCAAUGGACGAAAGUCUGACCGAGCAACGCCGCGUGAGUGAAGAAGGUUUUCAGAUCGUAAAACUCUGUUGUUAGAGAAGAACAAGGACGUUAGUAACUGAACGUCCCCUGACGGUAUCUAACCAGAAAGCCACGGCUAACUACGUGCCAGCAGCCGCGGUAAUACGUAGGUGGCAAGCGUUGUCCGGAUUUAUUGGGCGUAAAGCGAACGCAGGCGGUUUCUUAAGUCUGAUGUGAAAGCCCCCGGCUCAACCGGGGAGGGUCAUUGGAAACUGGGAGACUUGAGUGCAGAAGAGGAGAGUGGAAUUCCAUGUGUAGCGGUGAAAUGCGUAGAUAUAUGGAGGAACACCAGUGGCGAAGGCGGCUCUCUGGUCUGUAACUGACGCUGAGGCUCGAAAGCGUGGGGAGCAAACAGGAUUAGAUACCCUUGUAGUC
RNAcentral lists this ribosomal RNA (465 nucleotides) under uncultured bacterium. Its description in RNAcentral is "bacterial SSU rRNA". It matches the Rfam family "Bacterial small subunit ribosomal RNA", at positions 338 to 795 of the family's 1533-position model. The record is from RNAcentral.